GCACCUGUAGCGCAGCCUGGAUGAGGGCAAAUAGCGCGGCAGCCUCCUAAGCUGUAGGUCCGGGGUUCGAAUCCUCGCAGGUGCG
This 85-nucleotide transfer RNA is filed under the name Candidatus Woesearchaeota archaeon. RNAcentral's name for it is "tRNA-Arg". It matches the Rfam family "tRNA". From Rfam's summary of the family: Transfer RNA (tRNA) molecules are approximately 80 nucleotides in length. Their secondary structure includes four short double-helical elements and three loops (D, anti-codon, and T loops). Further hydrogen bonds mediate the characteristic L-shaped molecular structure. tRNAs have two regions of fundamental functional importance: the anti-codon, which is responsible for specific mRNA codon recognition, and the 3' end, to which the tRNAs corresponding amino acid is attached (by aminoacyl-tRNA synthetases). tRNAs cope with the degeneracy of the genetic code in two manners: having more than one tRNA (with a specific anti-codon) for a particular amino acid; and 'wobble' base-pairing, i.e. permitting non-standard base-pairing at the 3rd anti-codon position. Lineage: Archaea; Nanobdellati; Candidatus Woesearchaeota. The record is from RNAcentral.